CAUACCUGAUUGAAGACCUUUUUAUUCUUUUAGAUGUUUAUGCCAUGGCACAACCCAUUUUCUGUCACUGGAGUCCUGCAAUAGACACAUAUUAGCUGAAAGCUGAAAAAUCAGGACAUGAUUUCUAAACUGCCACCACUCCCUCAUUUUCAAGCCCACCUACACAAAUCUUAUAUCAAAAUGUUCAGCUAUCCCUGCUGCCACUAAACAUGUCCACGGCUAAGCCAUAGUCCUGAUAGUUUUCACAAUAUGACCAUUUGUUUGCAACCCAC
Pelobates cultripes (western spadefoot toad) is the source of this 272-nucleotide non-coding RNA. NCBI's taxonomy places the organism in Eukaryota, Metazoa, Chordata, Amphibia, Anura, Pelobatidae. The record is from the annotation of a GenBank genome assembly.